CAGUAGCCGCGGGAAUACGAAGGGGGCUAGCGUUGCUCGGAAUCACUGGGCGUAAAGGGUGCGUAGGCGGGUUUUUAAGUCAGAGGUGAAAUCCCGGAGCUCAACUCCAGAACUGCCUUUGAUACUGAAAGUCUUGAGUUCGGGAGAGGUGAGUGGAACUGCGAGUGUAGAGGUGAAAUUCGUAGAUAUUCGCAAGAACACCAGUGGCGAAGGCGGCUCACUGGCCCGAUACUGACGCUGAGGCACGAAAGCGUGGGGAGCAAACAGGAUUAGAUACCCCCGUAGUCCCUGUCUCUUAUAC
RNAcentral lists this ribosomal RNA (301 nucleotides) under uncultured bacterium. RNAcentral's name for it is "partial 16S ribosomal RNA". It matches the Rfam family "Bacterial small subunit ribosomal RNA", at positions 509 to 807 of the family's 1533-position model. The record is from RNAcentral.